Molecule: long non-coding RNA, 3019 nt
Filed under: Homo sapiens (human)
Lineage: Eukaryota; Metazoa; Chordata; Mammalia; Primates; Hominidae
Description: non-protein coding lnc-UBE2N-1:13
Source: RNAcentral
AGUAUUUACCAAAGGCUAUCUAGCUAGGGAGUGAUGGAGCCCAGAUCCGAAUCCAGCAGGUGCUGACAGCUGAGCCAUUCCACGCACCUUCGGAGCAAAGAACUGCCGGAAACCAGGGCCAAGUUCAGAGCCUGAAAUUUUUUUCAAAGGCUACAAGGAGAAACCUGGGGGGCCUGAUCACACAUUACAUAAGCCGUAUGUGAGCAGAGGAUGCCACUGAUGCUAGGAACCCAGUGCCUGUCGGAAUUGCGCAAGGACAUACCACAGAGUACAAACCAUGCUUUAGUGACAUUGAUCAGGCCACAGAUGACUGAGUUAUGAGAGGCCAUGAGCUUUCCAACAUCAGUUUCCUAAACCAGCUGCUUCUCAUCAGUCUGGUCCCCACUGGCCAGAGCUAUUGACAUCCUGGAAGAUAAUCCUAUAUUCCUACAAAGGUAGGAGAAGGUUCUGGGGAGAAAUAGUGUAAGUUUUUAUUUUUAAUUUUUGAUUAUUAUGGGUACAUAAUACAUGUAUGUAUUCAUGGCAGGGGUACAUGUGAUGUUCUGAUAUAGGCAUGUGGUGUAUAAUGAUCACAUCAUGCUAAUUGGGGUGUCCAUCACCUCAAGCACUUAUUAUGUCUUUUUGUUAGGAACAUUCCAGUUCUACUCUUUUAGUUUCAUUUUUGUUUGUUUUUGAGAGGCAGGGUCUCGCUCUGUUGCCCAGGCUGGAGGGCAGUGGCAAGAUCACUGCUCACCGCAGCCUUGACUUCCUGGGCUCAAGUGAUUCUCUGGCCUCAGCCUCCCAUGCAGUUCUAUUAAUAGAACUAAGACAAAAAGGGUCAUAGGCUUUCAGAGGCCACAGUGACCACAAGAGGCUGAUGCACCACCAUGCCUGGCUAAUUUUUGAGUCUUUCCAAGAGAAGAGGUCUCCCUAUGGUGCCCAAACUGGUCUCGAACUCCUGGGCUCAAGUGAUCCUCCUACCUCGGCCUUCCGAAGUGCUGGGAUUACAAGCGUGAGCCACAUAUACAGUCUAGCAAUUUUAAAAUAUACAGUAAAUUAUUGCUGACUGUUGUUGCCCUGUUGUGCUGUCAAAUACUAGAUCUUAUUUAACUAUAUUUUUGCACUCAUUAACCAUUCCCAUUUUUCCCCUUGCUCCCUGCUACGCUUCCCAGCCUCUGGUAACCAUCAUUCUACUCUCUAUCUCCAUGAGUUCAGUUGUUAUAAUUUUUGGCUUCCCCAUAUGAGUGAGGACAUUUGAAAUUGGUCUUUCUACGAGGAAUGGCAUGAGUUUGACAUAGAAUGCAAUUUGUUGAAGCACUCAGAGUUAGCAAAUUUCCAACGCAUCCCUGGCCCUGCCUACAGCCUGCAGCUUCCCGUAUGCCUUGUAAAGGGAGACUUCUGCUUCUACCAGCUCUAAGUUCUAAAAGUGUUUUUAAGAGUGGCAAUAUUGUGUGUUUAACCCUUUGAAGAAGACAGUAGCCACCUGAAUACAUCAGUUCUUACAUGUUAAUUAAAAAUCAGUAAUCUUUACUUUGUAUCUAUUAAUAGAACUAAGACAAAAAGGGCCAUAGGCUUUCAGAGGUCACAGUGACCACAAGAGGCUGAUGCAGUCAAGAAAUUCUUCACAGAGGGCAUGGGGCAUGGAUGUAGCUCUGUCACUUUUUCCCAGAACCACCCUCACUCCUGCAAAGACUGUUGGCUCCUUACCCAGUAUUCACUCUCCAUGUCUUCCUUGGUAGAAUAAGCAGCGUGGGAAAGUGCCUGGCUAAAAGGCUACAUUUUCCAUCUUCCUUCACAGUAGGGGUGACUAAUGAAAUCCCAGGAGAUGUUGGGUGGUCAGGGUUGCCAGAUCAAAUAAGGAACACUUAGUUAAAUUAGAAUUUCAGUCAAUAAUGAACAUUUUAUUGUUGUUGUCGUUGUUGUUGAGAUAGAGUCUCAUUGUGUCACCCAGACUGGAGUGCACUGGUGCCAUCUUGGCUCACUGCAAGCUCCGCCUCCUGGGUUCAAGCAAUUCUCCUGCCUUGACCUCCUGAGUAGCAGGGAUUACAGGUGUGCACCACCACACCUGGCUAAUUUUUGUAUUUUUAGUAGAGACAGGGUUUUGCCAUUGUUGGCCAGGCUGGUCUCAAACUCCUGGCCUCAAAUGAUCCACCCACAUUGGCCUCCCAAAGUGCUGGGAUUACAGGCAUGAGCCACCUUGCCUGGCCUACCCCUUUUGUCCUUUUUCCCAUUUUCUUUUCUGGGAUAUGGAUGUGAUGCCUAGGGCUCCAGCCUCCUUCUUGGGUCAUGAGGUUAAGGAUGGCAGAUACAAAAGACAGAGGACUGCAUACCUUCAGACUUUCUUAUGUGUGAUAGUAACCAUUGAUUUUCUUUAGCUGCUUGAGGUAUCUCUGUGAUUUGCAUCCAAUUGCUCUUCCUAACUGGUAUAGCCAUAAUAAAGGGUGCAUUGUGGUGGCAGCAGCUGAAAUUGAUGAAGAACCAGUCAGUAAAGCACAACAGAGUUGGAGUGAAAAGAAGGCACAGAAGGCUAUGUCCAAACUGGGUCUUUGACAGGUUAUAGGGGUUACUAGAGUCACUAUCUGGAAAUCUAAGAAUAUCCUCUUUGUCAUCGCGAAACCAGAUGUCUACAAGAGCCCUGCUUCGGAUACCUAUAUCGUUUUGGCAGAAGCCAAGAUUGAAGAUUUAUCUCAGCAAGCACAAGUAGCAACUGCUGCGAAAUUCAAAGUUCAGGGUGAAGCUGUCUUAAAUGUUCAAGAAAACACACAGACUCCAACUGUACAAAAGGAGAGUGAAGAGGAUGAGGUUGAUGAAACAGGUGUAGAAGUUAAGGACAUAGAAUUGGUCAUGUCACAAGGGAAUGUGUCCAGAGCAAAGGCAGUUGGAGCCUGGAAGAACAAAGUAAUAAUAUUGUAAAUGCUAUUAUGGAAUUAACAGUGUAACCAUCUGAAAGCAACUUUUAUUGGUGUCUCAAAUGAGUGACUGCAGCUUGGUUUGAAAUUUGUACUGCUUCUAUCAUAAAUAAAGUUAUGGCUUCUUGUUG